AUUUUUUCUACCUUGUUAGAUCUUUGUUUUUAGUGUUUAGUGAUUAGUGAGGAUUACAUAAAAAUAUUUCUGGGAAUGUUUGACGUUCAGUAGGAUUUUGUUGUGAUUUGCAUUUUUGAAGAGAAUUAUUUAUUUUGGGAAAAUUGUUUAAGAUUACAUAUAAAAUGAGAAGCCGAGAAAAAGAAAAUAAGAAAAAAAAAAUAGGAAACGUUGUUUAGGAUUAUAUGUUAAAAAAAAAAAGAAGCUGAGAAAAAGAAAAUAAGAGGAAAAGAGGAAAAGAAGGAAAAAAGAUUGGAUCAGGAUAUAUAAUUUCAAUUUUUGCUGGAGAUAAAAUUUAUGUUUGUUGCAUCAGUAUAGGUAAGAUUGACUAUGUAUUUUUGGGGAGAGAAAAAUAAAUUAAACAGUUAAAAAUGUUUUUAGUUAGAUUGAGAGUGGAGAAACAUGUUUGUAAUUGUCAUUUAGGCUAUAAGAAGCGAAAAAAUCAAUAGAAUAAAACUAUUUUCCUUCAAUUGAAAAUUGUAAAUAGUAUAUUUGCUUUUGUAAAUUAAUAAUUUUGGUAGAAAAUUUUUAAAUAAGGAAGAACGUUUAUUGUUUUCUAUAUUAGAUAGAAGAUAAAAAAUGAAUGAAAGGCAACAUGUGAAAUAAACAUGAAGGCUAUUUGAAGUUGCUUUUUUCAUUUCUUCUUAUACUUCUUUUGCUUAGAUAAAUAUAAGAAUCCGUGAUAUCGGAUUAGCAUAAAUAUAAAGGUCAUUAAUGAAAUAUUUCUUCAAAAUAUUUUUCGUAAAGUAGCAACAUAGAUACGUUGGACAUACUACUUACGUACUACUCAUAGAAAUAGUCUAUUAUUUAAAAGUAAAUCAAUGGUUAUUGAAAUUUACAAAUAGGAUGUGUUCAAAAUGGUUUAUUUAUAUGUUUAAAAA
RNAcentral lists this long non-coding RNA (920 nucleotides) under Olea europaea subsp. europaea. The record is from RNAcentral. Lineage: Eukaryota; Viridiplantae; Streptophyta; Magnoliopsida; Lamiales; Oleaceae.